UUCCGUAGGGUGACCUGCGGAGGGAUCAUUACAGAGUUUUUAACUCCCAACCCUUGCGAACCGUACCCCGUUCUGUUCUCGUUGCUUCUGGCGGGAGGGGAGGGGCGCGUCCUUCGGGGCGUGCCUCUCUCUCCCAGGUCCCUUCGGGGCGCCCGCCAGCGGCCGCGAGCCGCCUGAACUUUUUAUAAACCAGUAACGAAACGUCUGAGAAACAAACAAAAACAGCCAAAACUUUCAACAACGGAUCUCUUGGCUCUGGCAUCGAUGAAGAACGCAGCGAAAUGCGAUACGUAAUGCGAAUUGCAGAAUUCAGCGAGUCAUCGAAUCUUUGAACGCACAUUGCGCCCGCCAGCAUUCUGGCGGGCAUGCCUGUCCGAGCGUCAUUUCCCCCCUCAGCAUACCCUUUGGGUGCGCUGGCGUUGGGGCUCCUCCGCCCUCUGUGGCGGCAGGGCCCUCAAAACCAGUGGCGGGCCCGUCUGGUUGGCUCCGAGCGCAGUACCGAACGCAAGUUCUCUCUCUCGCUCUGCAGCCCCGGUCGGUGCCCAGCCGUCAAACCGCGCAGGAGGCUCUGCUUGCAGAACCGCCUCGCAUUUUUACAAGGUUGACCUCGGAUCAGGUAGGAUUACCCGCUGAACUUAAGCAUAUCAAUAAGCGGAGGAA
RNAcentral lists this ribosomal RNA (660 nucleotides) under Ophiostoma quercus. RNAcentral's name for it is "eukaryotic LSU rRNA". The stretch from base 230 to 383 matches the Rfam family "5.8S ribosomal RNA". The record is from RNAcentral. Lineage: Eukaryota; Fungi; Ascomycota; Sordariomycetes; Ophiostomatales; Ophiostomataceae.